UCAACUGUUUUCAAAAAAAAAAAAAAAAAAUUACAUCUCUACUCGAAUAGAUUAAAAAGAAAAACCUUUCACCCUCUCCUUCUGAUUCGAAAUUGAUUCGACUGAAAUUUGGUACGUUUAGAUCUUCAGGUGAAUUAACAUGUACGCGCCUUCAUGUGUAGCUAAGAAAUAACUCAACCGCUGCAAUUUGAUGGCGCUUUGUAACCGCUGAACCGAUUUUCGGACGAACUCCUUCUACAAUUUAUGAUGUACAUCUUGUUGAUUUACCCAAGGAGGAUGGAGGGACUUACAAUUUAUUCUUAGCCUCCUCCUGACAGGAUUAUGAGGGGAUUUGGACUUCAUGCCAGAAAUAUACGCGAAAACCAGUGAUGGGGAAGCGAUAGUGCAAUGAAGGUCGGAACAAAUGUGGAAGAUCAAAUCAGCUUAACGAUAAUAUCCUACGUCUAACUGGUCCAAAGCUUUCAGGUCAGCAACUACAGCGAAAACAAGAAUGGGAAACGAUAAUUCUGACACUCUCGUCCAGCCUCAUUUAUGGGCACAAUUGACCCUUACGAUAGCUCCCAGACGACUCUAGAGCUUAUACUACCAGAUCAAAGCUAUACGAAGCUGUCGAAAUGCAAUCCCAUCUUACAAACAGCGGUGUUAUAUUCACAGCAAAAGGAGAUGUACACGUAAAAUACGGAAACAAACCCCUAAUGACCAAAAAUUAGUGCGCAAAAGAAAAACAUCUAAGCCGCUACCUAUCUACCUUUGAGAACAGAACCCUAGAGACUUACGCCAAAAAAUUAAUAAAGUUAAUUACGAAAAAGUACUUUCAUGUUGUACCAAUAAAGAAGGGUAAUAUUCAAGAAAUUAAACUAACAAGCAAAUGUGCGCAUUGAAUAUCUGCCAUAACUUUCGCCCAAAUAAGGUUCAGAAAAAAAAUUGCAGUGGGGAAAAAAAUAAUUCAAUAUGCUUACUUUGGGAACACCUUUUCAGUGACUUCGAAAAGUCAGCUGAAAUAACCGAAGUUGAUGGUAGUACGUUAAAGUAAAGAUACCUCAUCAUACUUGAAGUUUUGAGUUUGGCUUGAAGUAGAUACCCUCUGCUUCCAACCGUCCAUAAACUCUAACUCACAGCGCGUUAGUAAUUUCAUUGGCCAUUUUGACAAUCGGUGAUAGAGCGAGGAAGCGGCUGCAGCUCGAAAUAAAUACUAUCGAAUUUAUAGAUCGGGUUUCGAUGAAAAAUUUUCAAGAAAAGAAUGCACCAUGAACAAUAUGAAUCGACUUUUGCUUAAGGCUGACCCUCUGUUAGUCAAAUUGCUCAGAUAUUGUUAACAUUUUAUUACAUCAAUCUUGAAUGUGUAAAUGGUUUAAGAAAAGGAUCAAAUCUACAACCGAUGGCCUAUACCGACGAUGAUGAUAUUGACAACACCGGACCUAACAACCGCGGCGUUAGUUCUGUUUCUGGGAAGAACAACUUGGUUUCCAAUGGAAUUCAUACUCCCGUAUCGAGUGCAAAUAAAAAAGUCGUAUGCUCAUAAAAAAAUGUAUAACUUCUGUAUAGUUAUAAGUAACAUGUUAGGU
Long non-coding RNA from Ceratitis capitata (Mediterranean fruit fly), 1565 nucleotides. RefSeq lists it as uncharacterized. The transcript is spliced from 4 exons. The record is from RefSeq and is a predicted model, not a curated record. NCBI's taxonomy places the organism in Eukaryota, Metazoa, Arthropoda, Insecta, Diptera, Tephritidae.